UACGUAGGUGGCGAGCGUUAUCCGGAAUUACUGGGCGUAAAGCGCACGCAGGCGGUUUGUCAAGUUCGACGUGAAAGCUCCCGGCUUAACUGGGAGAGGUCGUUGAAAACUGACAAGCUUGAGGCAACGAGAGGGGUGUAGAAUUCCCGGUGUAGUGGUGGAAUGCGUAGAUAUCGGGAGGAAUACCAGUGGCGAAAGCGGCACCCUAGCGUUGACCUGACGCUCAUGUGCGAAAGCGUGGGAGCGAACGGG
This 252-nucleotide unclassified non-coding RNA is filed under the name uncultured Caldilineaceae bacterium. Its description in RNAcentral is "contains 16S-23S intergenic spacer region". It matches the Rfam family "Bacterial small subunit ribosomal RNA", at positions 524 to 776 of the family's 1533-position model. The record is from RNAcentral. Lineage: Bacteria; Bacillati; Chloroflexota; Caldilineae; Caldilineales; Caldilineaceae.